UCCGUAGGUGAACCUGCGGAGGGAUCAUUGAAUCAGUAAUCCCCACACGGUAACCAUUUGUAUCCUCGGUUACAGCUACUUGUAGCUGCAUCCGGCCCACGGUCUGGGUAACACCAGGCUGGUGGGGGGGCGGUAAGGUCGCCCUCCUACCGGUUUGUCUUCCUCUGAAGUCAUCCGGUAGGAGCUUACCGUCUUGGACCGGCCCUUUACACCUCAACCCUACUUUAACUAAUACGCUUUGGCAAUAACUUUGCCGGGCAACCAAUAAAACAACUCUCAACAACGGAUAUCUUGGCUCCCGUAUCGAUGAAGAACGCAGCGAACUGCGAAACGUAGUGUGAAUUGCAGAAUUCCGUGAACCAUCGAAUCUUUGAACGCAGAUUGCGCCCAAGGUUUCGGCCAAGGGCACGUUUCGCUCAGUGUCGGCACAACCCUUCACUCACUUCUGUGGGUGAGAUCUGGUAUUCCCUCUGCUCUGCAGAGGGUCUGCCGAAUGGCAUUGCCGGGUUCCUGAUAACCUGACGGCUUUGUCGAGCAAUUAUUUGCCGACUGUUGUCAAUAUCAGAGCU
This 569-nucleotide ribosomal RNA is filed under the name uncultured fungus. RNAcentral's name for it is "eukaryotic LSU rRNA". The stretch from base 272 to 425 matches the Rfam family "5.8S ribosomal RNA". Lineage: Eukaryota; Fungi. The record is from RNAcentral.